AUUUAGGUAGCAUAGUGGCUAGAGUGCUGGACCUAGAGUCCAGAGGACCUGGAUUCAAAUCUAGCCUCAAAUA
RNAcentral lists this transfer RNA (73 nucleotides) under Monodelphis domestica (gray short-tailed opossum). It matches the Rfam family "tRNA". Rfam says of the family: Transfer RNA (tRNA) molecules are approximately 80 nucleotides in length. Their secondary structure includes four short double-helical elements and three loops (D, anti-codon, and T loops). Lineage: Eukaryota; Metazoa; Chordata; Mammalia; Didelphimorphia; Didelphidae. The record is from Rfam by way of RNAcentral.